GGGCUUCACUGCACACAUAGGCACAAGAUCAGUUCACCUCUUUGCCGAUUGGUGAGUACCUGGAUCCUGGCUGUAUGCACCAUGGUCAUAAGAAGCACUCACAGUGAGUCAAUGAUGUGUGGAGAAUCCUCCUCUGAAGUGCUAUGGAUUUGUAAGCUCACAAUUUCCUGUCGCUUAACAGAAGUCUGCUCCUUUUCACUUUUCCUUUUUGCACCCAAUUCUUUCGCCACUGGAUGAAAGCAUUUUUUUCCUGACCCUGGGGAUGUUGGUCACGGAUGACUUUUGUUCCCUAGAGGUCAAUAUAUGACUUCUUUAUAUGUGUAGGAUAUAAAGGAAUUAGAUUAGUAAUCUUAUAAAAAAUGCUGUCCAGUUAAAAAUAUAUAUAUAUUCCUAAAGAAAGAAGAGUACUAUGUUAAAUCUGUUUGGUUUUCUUUAGUCAGCCACAUAAAUUAAACUUGGAAUCUCCCACGGGAUUUAAGUACUUUAGCACUUCUGUGGAGUACCUUCUCUUAACAGCAAUUUUGCAGCUAUUUUUGCCAUUUUUUCUGGUUGUAUUUAAUCCCUCAUUUCAUCUAAUCUCCAAACCCCAAGCUGUUUUGCAGUACUCACAGUCGACAUUUAUAAAGCUUAAUGUUUGGACCACACUCCUCGUUCCUGUCAAGGACAGAGCCUUGCAGAAAUUAGGAUACUUGCCACUUAUUGACUUUUCGCUGGAAUUAAAAAAAGGUUUUUCCUGAACCUAUUCGUUAUGUCUUAUUGAAACAUUGUAUUGAGGAAAGUGUGUUAAAUAUUCAAGAACACAGUGAAGAAUUAUUUUUUUUCAAAAACACAAAGGUUUUAAGUAAAAGUCCAAUAAUCAGAAUUUUGUCGGCUUUAUGAAAAGAUUUGACCUGCAAAUACAGAUUUUGCCAAUUGUAAUUUCUUUUUAAGAACAAUAAAAGAGCUGCAUUUUAAUAUUU
Molecule: long non-coding RNA, 959 nt
Organism: Girardinichthys multiradiatus
Lineage: Eukaryota; Metazoa; Chordata; Actinopteri; Cyprinodontiformes; Goodeidae
Exons: 4
Source: RefSeq, a predicted model, not a curated record